Ornithorhynchus anatinus (platypus) is the source of this 665-nucleotide long non-coding RNA. RefSeq lists it as uncharacterized. The transcript has 4 exons. Lineage: Eukaryota; Metazoa; Chordata; Mammalia; Monotremata; Ornithorhynchidae. The record is from RefSeq and is a predicted model, not a curated record.
GAGUUGAGGAACAGGCCAUGAAAAAAAAAAUCACAGAGCUCCAGAAGUGGAAUAAGUAAGAGCUAGCAUUUGGAUGCCGUGGCAUUUGUUUCUGGAUGGAUCUUGAUCAUGUUUGACAUUCAAUUCUAGCCAGGUCUAUAUUUGGAGCAAGAAAAAUCAACACUUGGGACUUGAAUAGGGAGGAGUCCACUUCGGUCCUGGGCAACUUUUUAGCAAAUGAGUCCCAGGAAAAAGAAACCUAGGCCAAGGUUUCUUCCAGGGAAUAGGUCAGAGGUAAACCCGGGACACAGCUACGAGCCAGCGACUGACUGUCACUGCCACUCCCAGUAAAAAAUUCCCCGGCGCGGCCAGCUGUCGUGAAUUUCACAGAUGAGGUAACCGAGGCCCCGAGGACUAGGAGACGAGAAGACGAGAGUGAAAAUAGGGCUAGGCACUGCAAAGAAGGGCAGCCCAAGGAGGUCUUCCUGUGCCAGCCCAACGAGGUGGAAACUGGAUCUUCCUCUGAGCUUACUUCCAGUUCAUUAUCAACGGUUUCCUGCUUCCAGCCUCUCCCCUCUCCGGUCCAAACUUCAGCCUGCUGCCAUGCGAGAGAGGAGAACACGGGCCUGGGCGUCAGGUCAUGGGUUCCCAGUCCAGCUCCGCCACUUGUCUGCUGUGUGACCUUA